UACGUAGGGAGCAAGCGUUGUCCGGAAUCAUUGGGCGUAAAGCGCGCGUAGGUGGCUUUAUAAGUCCGUUGUGAAAGUCAAAGGCUCAACCUUUGAAAGCCGAUGGAUACUGUGAAGCUAGAGUACGGAAGAGGCGAGUGGAAUUCCUGGUGUAGCGGUGGAAUGCGCAGAUAUCAGGAGGAACACCAAUAGCGAAGGCAGCUCGCUGGGACGUUACUGACACUGAGGCGCGAAAGCGUGGGGAGCGAACAGG
This 253-nucleotide ribosomal RNA is filed under the name uncultured bacterium. RNAcentral's name for it is "partial 16S ribosomal RNA". It matches the Rfam family "Bacterial small subunit ribosomal RNA", at positions 524 to 776 of the family's 1533-position model. The record is from RNAcentral.